AGUGAACGCUGGCGGUAGGCCUAACACAUGCAAGUCGAACGGCAGCACAGGAGAGCUUGCUCUCUGGGUGGCGAGUGGCGGACGGGUGAGGAAUACAUCGGAAUCUACUCUGUCGUGGGGGAUAACGUAGGGAAACUUACGCUAAUACCGCAUACGACCUACGGGUGAGAGCAGGGGAUCUUCGGACCUUGCGCGAUUGAAUGAGCCGAUGUCGGAUUAGCUAGUUGGCGGGGUAAAGGCCCACCAAGGCGACGAUCCGUAGCUGGUCUGAGAAGAUGAUCAGCCCCACUGGAACUGAGACACGGUCCAGAAUCCUACGGGAGGCAGCAGUGGGGAAUAUUGGACAAUGGGCGCAAGCCUGAUCCAGCCAUACCGCGUGGGUGAAGAAGGCCUUCGGGUUGUAAAGCCCUUUUGUUGGGAAAGAAAUCCAGCUGGCUAAUACCCGGUUGGGAUGACGGUACCCAAAGAAUAAGCACCGGCUAACUUCGUGCCAGCCGCCGCAGUAA
RNAcentral lists this ribosomal RNA (506 nucleotides) under uncultured bacterium. RNAcentral describes it as "partial 16S ribosomal RNA". It matches the Rfam family "Bacterial small subunit ribosomal RNA", at positions 29 to 523 of the family's 1533-position model. The record is from RNAcentral.